ACAAAAGCAAAACUUCCUCUAAACACUUGCUUAAUGUAAGAGCGGAAUAAACUUUCAUAAUUUCAAAAUGAAGAUUUCGAAGUCAUAUAGAUGGCAGAUAAUUCAUACUUGAGGAAAUUAGUUUGCCUCCAAAUCCAACAACAAUCAACAAAAAUAUACAUGGAAAAUGGCAUUUAAUAGUACACUGUAAACAGAACACUGAAUGGAUAAUGAUACUAAAAUGUGUUUACAAAGGAACCAACCUGGACAUGAUGAUAGAUACACUAAGAAUUUAAAUUGUGAAUGAAGUGUACUACCAUCUUCAUCAAGAUCCGGUAUUUCUUGUAUAUAUCAGCAGUUGAGCACAUCAAGUGCUUCUGAGAUUGAACAGCAUGUUAAAUUAAACCAACAUUCCUUUCAUCCAAGAAAUGGAAUGGAAAGUAGUGGGCAGAUCAAGAGUAAGCUUGAAUCACCACGGUAUAUCAGAGAUGCAGGUCCUGAAUUAGUUGGACUUGAGGGCGAGGAAUUUCUUCCACCUGAGUGCAAGGAGAUGUACCCCUAAAUUCAUGACACCACCAUAGACCUGCACGUGUGUAACAUCAUGGCAGCAAAUUACAGUUUUCUAAAAUAUUGGCAAUGUAACAUCAUGGCUGCAAAUUUAGCUGAAAGGUCUAUGCUAACAAUAUAAGCAUUAAUUUAGAUAAUAGCCGAAUGGCCAUGCGUUGUAGCAGUUUAAAAAGCAUAUUACUAUAGCAUGUCGACCUGCACACGCUGCCCAACUUGAUAUACUUGGUCCAUGACAUGCCCUUGGCUCUGCUGUGUAACAAACUGAGCUUUACCUCAACACCACAAACAGACAUGCUCAUGUUCAGCCUACAACAAUUAAAUUUUGGAAUUAAGAAAUGUGACAGUUUAGGGCAAAAAUAUCAUAGCCUACCAAACAUAAACUACAAUGUAGCAUAUCAACAUCAUAUGCCUCCCAGAAGCAUUUAAAAGCAACUCAAAUUGAAUUUGGGUGUUGGAUCUGAUUACCUGAGAUCAUCUGCAACGACACGGUACGUAAUCAAGAAAGAUGGCAAUGUAAAAUAAAUUAUUAUCGAAUCUGACUUGAGAUAGUAGACUAACUUGGUGGCAUUUCAUCAAGGACUAUCAUUAUCACAAAAAAAGAAGAGGGCCAAUUGUCUAUUAGAAUGCACAUGGGAGAAUGUAUUGAAGUAGAAAUAGAAUAUAUGGCUGCAUGUCUCAGUACAAAAUAUAAUGUUGAAACAAUAUAUAAACUAUGAACUUAUCAUAAUGUAGAAACUAUGGAACAUAGCAUUACAUGAGGUAUUUUCAUGGAGAAAAUGGGUACCCAUGUGAUAAUUCUAACUGACACGAUACUUUGAAAUUUCUAGCAUAUACUUGUUCGCAUGAGCGUGGGAAUCAGAGCAUGUAAAUGUGGUGAACCACAAAUGAUAGGUUGUCUAUGUGAAAUGGUAAAAAUUCAGAUUGUAUGACCAAAAAAGUUUAUAUGCUGAAACCGGAAGCACGGCUUCCGGUUUAUAUGCUGUAGACACUGAACUUUGUAUCUACUACCCCUGACAAAGUUGCAUCCUUUCUAUGAUUCAGAAAAAAUAGCUUCCUUUCUGAGUAGAAAAAAGCAUAAAUUCUUCCAAUUCCAUGAGCCAGGGCAGCUGCACUCUUCCAAUUUGUCUCUACAAAACUGUUCCAGCUGGAGCGGGCCACCAUAUCAAAAAUGGAUUUAGAAGAGUUAUAACAAUGGCAAUACAAUCAGUGCAGAGCAGAACAACACACAAGUCAAGAUUUGGUGGAGAGGGGAAGGGACCGUACCAUGAAAACCAGAGGGAG
This 1827-nucleotide long non-coding RNA is filed under the name Triticum aestivum (bread wheat). RNAcentral describes it as "long non-coding RNA (TAES_LNC014838)". The record is from RNAcentral. Lineage: Eukaryota; Viridiplantae; Streptophyta; Magnoliopsida; Poales; Poaceae.